AGAGCGAACGCUGGCGGCAGGCCUAACACAUGCAAGUCGAGCGCCCGUAGCAAUACGGGAGCGGCAGACGGGAUAGUAACACGUGGGAACGCGCCCUUCGGUUCGGAAUAACUCAAGGAAACUUGAGCUAAUACCGGAUACGCCCUUACGGGGAAAGAUUUAUUGCCGAAGGAACGGCCCGCGUCCGAUUAGCUAGUUGGUGAGGUAAUGGCUCACCAAGGCGACGAUCGGUAGCUGGUCUGAGAGGAUGACCAGCAUCACUGGGACUGAGACACGGCCCAGACUCCUACGGGAGGCAGCAGUGGGGAAUAUUGGACAAUGGGCGCAAGCCUGAUCCAGCCAUGCCGCGUGGAUGAUGAAGGCCUUAGGGUUGUAAAGUCCUUUUAACGGGGAAGAUAAUGACGGUACCCGUAGAAUAAGCCCCGGCUAACUUCGCGCCAGCAGCCGC
This 448-nucleotide ribosomal RNA is filed under the name uncultured bacterium. Its description in RNAcentral is "SSU rRNA". It matches the Rfam family "Bacterial small subunit ribosomal RNA", at positions 26 to 518 of the family's 1533-position model. The record is from RNAcentral.